GUGGUAUGAAUGCCAAUGAGACAACUCUCCAUCCAAGUCACAAUAUGUAAAAGUUAAAAGAGUCAAAUAACGAUCUUCAAUGCGGAGGCGCCUUGGCUCCCACCAAACCACAGAAUAUAAAAGAUGUUUAAACCAGCGAAAAUUCAAUAUAACUUUUGCUUAACCCGCAUACAUGAAAAAUGAAACUACAAUUUGUAGUUAAAAUAACACAAUUUUAUUUUGAGUACUUUGGUACAAUGUUGUCAUGCCUUCUAAUUAUUUUGUAAACGCAAAUUAUCAAAUCAUUUAAACAGAUUUUUGUAAAUAUAAGUCUAUCCGUAAUAUCGUCGUCGGGGUUUGUAUUUUGGCCAGGGUGGACUGCAUGGUGGACAAUUACACGGUGCUCGGACGCAAGCGCAGCAUGGCUGUGGACGACCUGAAAAAAAAAUCGUUUAAAUACAAAUAAUGAGGCUUUUUCUUUGAUGUGCAAAUGAUGAGGAUUUUUUUUUUUAUGUUCGUAAUAUGCUAUUAUGUUGACGAAUACUGAUUACCCUUUUAUCAAAUAAAGUUAUUGUAUAUGUUUUAUAUUGAUGGUGAAUACUGCAUGGGUAAACACUGGCAAGUAAAUACUAUAAUAUAAAUGUUGAAGAGGACCAACGAAAUCUGUUAAAAGCACUUUUUGGAUUUUUUUUUUCUUGGACUGACGCUAUUCACGGCUGUUUUUAAAAUACUAACAGACUGUUGUAAUUUAGAAACAGCCGUGAAUAGCUUUGCUUGCUUACUGUUGUAGCUAACAUGUUACCCUGGUUUGGAACAGUUAAUGCUAUUUAUGUCUUUGUUCAUGCUAGUUGUCAUUCUAGUGGUAGCUGAACCGGUUUUUUUUUUGUAACCUGGAAUCCUGAUGAAAUAUUUUCAAUUUUGCUAAGCUUCAAUUCAAAUAUAACAUCAUAAGCUAACAUGACUUAUUGAGCAAAUUUAUCUAAACAGCGUGUUGCCACAUACGGACUUAUGGAUCAAAGUGACUAAGUCGUUAAAAGCAAUAAAAAAAAAAACACAACGUUAGAACGAUUUAUUUUCAAACAUAAAUCACGAUAAAAAGUAGCGUAUGUAAUAUCGUAUAUUGGAAACAAAAGCAAAGCAUAAUAGAUCAAAUAGCCUAUUUGUUUGAACAAGACAAAGAGGCACGACAUCUGGAAUUACACAAUAAGAUGCUCAAUCUUUUUCAAUUACAUUUGCCUGUCUUGCAGCCACCCGACAACUGCAGUGGCUGCAAGACAGGCAAAUGUAAUUGAAAAAGAUUGAGCAUCUUAUUGUGUAAUUCCAGAUGUCGUGAUGAUAUAUAUAUACAACUCGUCUAAACAUCAACCCAACAAUGUUAGAUCUGUAAAUUUGCUUUCGCAAAUUUUUUGUUCUUCCCACGCCGGGAUUCGAACCCAUGCUACUGUGAUAUCAUGACACCAAAUCGCCUGCACUGCAGCCGUCCCGCUAGACCACACGAC
RNAcentral lists this long non-coding RNA (1478 nucleotides) under Mytilus galloprovincialis (Mediterranean mussel). The record is from RNAcentral. Lineage: Eukaryota; Metazoa; Mollusca; Bivalvia; Mytilida; Mytilidae.